UGGCCGCCGAGUGAAAUGACUUGUCUUAAAGGGACUUUGGCUAUAAUGCGAGAGGGGCGCCGCAGUUCGUACAGAGUCUUGUCAGUCGGAUUUACAGCACGUGAAUUCAUCAGUUUCUCCCGAAAUAUAUAAACUGUGCCAUGAUGCCUGUGGCCUUAACCCAUAUCUGUUCAUAGCUGAGUGAGCAAUUCCUUUCCCUGUGCCUGUCCAGAUGUUGGCCUAAUUUGCUAUGACUAUCAACGUAUGCACUCUUACAACUCCCUCUCCAUGCGUAUGAAGCUGUUUCCCCAUUGAGAUUUGGAGCUGGGAUGUGUGGAAUUCUCUUGGCUGCUGAGUCGGGGUCUCCACCUCCGCCUCAUGUCCUCCUGGCAGCGUUCCUCUUUUGGACACUGGCAGCAGCUUGU
Long non-coding RNA from Megalobrama amblycephala (Wuchang bream), 404 nucleotides. RefSeq lists it as uncharacterized. NCBI's taxonomy places the organism in Eukaryota, Metazoa, Chordata, Actinopteri, Cypriniformes, Xenocyprididae. The transcript is spliced from 3 exons. The record is from RefSeq and is a predicted model, not a curated record.